UUGCCAGGGCAGGAGGUGGAA
RNAcentral lists this microRNA (21 nucleotides) under Homo sapiens (human). RNAcentral's name for it is "hsa-miR-5006-5p". The record is from miRBase by way of RNAcentral. Lineage: Eukaryota; Metazoa; Chordata; Mammalia; Primates; Hominidae.